GCUCGUAGUUGGAUUUCUAGUCGACAUGCGUGGUCCGCUUCGCUUUAUGCGUCGUGAGUUUAUCGCAGCGUGUCGUCUAUCCUAUUCGUUUGCCUUUUCCUCUUCGGGGGGGGAGGUCGACGGGUUCGUUUACUUUGAAAAAAUUAGAGUGUUUAAAGCAGGCGUUUUCGCCUUGAAUACAUUAGCAUGGAAUAAUAACAUAGGACUUCGGUCUUUCUAUUUUGUUGGUUUCCGGAACUGAAGUAAUGAUUGACAGGGAUAGUUGGGGGUGCUAGUAUUUAGCGGCCAGAGGUGAAAUUCUCGGAUUCGCUAAAGACUAACUUAUGCGAAAGCAUUCACCAAGGAUGUCUUCUUUAAUCAAGAACGAAAGUUGGGGGAUCGAAGACGAUCAGAUACCGUCGUAGUCUCAACCAUAAACUAUACCGACUAAGGAUGAGUGACCGUUGCAUUUUCGACUUCAUUCGCACUUUAGGAGAAAUCAAAGUCUUUGGGUUCCGGGGGGAGUAUGGUCGCAAGGCUGAAACUUAAAGGAAUUGACGGAAGGGCACCACCAGGAGUGGAGCCUGCGGCUUAAUUUGACUCAACACGGGAAAACUUACCAGGUCCGGACAUAGUGAGGA
RNAcentral lists this ribosomal RNA (620 nucleotides) under uncultured eukaryote. RNAcentral describes it as "bacterial SSU rRNA". It matches the Rfam family "Eukaryotic small subunit ribosomal RNA", at positions 626 to 1239 of the family's 1831-position model. The record is from RNAcentral.